Molecule: ribosomal RNA, 94 nt
Filed under: Allonocardiopsis opalescens
Lineage: Bacteria; Bacillati; Actinomycetota; Actinomycetes; Streptosporangiales
Source: RNAcentral
ACACCCGGUCACGUUCCGAUCCCGGUCAGUUAAGCCUGCCAGCGCCGAUGGUACUGCCCCCGAAGGGGGGUGGGAGAGCAGGACACCGCCGAAC